Molecule: ribosomal RNA, 627 nt
Filed under: Triticum aestivum (bread wheat)
Lineage: Eukaryota; Viridiplantae; Streptophyta; Magnoliopsida; Poales; Poaceae
Description: partial small subunit ribosomal RNA
Source: RNAcentral
AUGCUGGGGUCCGGGCUGAAUCUGGUGACCACGGUGAUCGGCUUCGGGAUGAGCGCCACCUUCAUCGUCUUCGUCUGCGCACGCCUCAUCUGCGGACGCGCCGUGCGGGCCGACGCCGAGGCCGACGUCGCCGCCGCCCGGGCGAUGGCUCCGGGCCCCGCGCCCUUCGACUUCGACAUCGAGUUCCGCACUGCGGAUCUCGAUCGCACGAUUCAGAACACCUGCAGUGGAUUGGAACCUUUCGUUGUUGCUGCAAUUCCAACAAUAACGUAUAGCUCUGAAGCCUUCCAUUCAAAAGAUGAUGCCCAGUGCUCCAUAUGUUUGGGUGAAUACGACGAGAAAGAGAUCCUGCGUAUAAUGCCCACAUGCCGACAUAAUUUUCAUCUUUCCUGUAUAGAUAUAUGGUUAGAGAAGCAAACGACCUGCCCAAUAUGCCGAAUCUCGUUGGACUUACCGGGUGGAAAAGCCAGUGCUUCUCCUGCCCGUAGCCUCCCUCAAUUAUUUGGCCACCCUGAGAGCUCUGCCAGUCGAUCACCGCAUUGGAUACUUCCUAUGCAUCGUGAUCGUAGUGGGGGUAGAGGUAACAGACCGGCCUCACAAGAAUCAUUAGAAGUGGUCAUAACAUGA